This 429-nucleotide ribosomal RNA is filed under the name Verrucomicrobiota bacterium. RNAcentral describes it as "Verrucomicrobia bacterium partial 16S ribosomal RNA". It matches the Rfam family "Bacterial small subunit ribosomal RNA", at positions 355 to 776 of the family's 1533-position model. The record is from RNAcentral. Lineage: Bacteria; Pseudomonadati; Verrucomicrobiota.
UAGGGAAUCUUCCGCAAUGGACGAAAGUCUGACGGAGCAACGCCGCGUGAGUGAAGAAGGAUUUCGGUUCGUAAAACUCUGUUGUUAGGGAAGAAAAAAUGUAUAGUAACUAUAUACAAAAGAGACGGUACCUAACCAGAAAGCCACGGCUAACUACGUGCCAGCAGCCGCGGUAAUACGUAGGUGGCAAGCGUUGUCCGGAAUUAUUGGGCGUAAAGCGCGCGCAGGUGGUUUAGAAAGUCUGAUGUGAAAGCCCACGGCUCAACCAUAGAGGGUCAUUGGAAACUAAUAAACUUGAGUGCAGGAGAGAAAAGUGGAAUUCCUAGUGUAGCGGUGAAAUGCGUAGAGAUUAGGAGGAACACCGGUGGCGAAAGCGGCUUUUUGGCCUGCAACUGACACUGAGGCGCGAAAGCGUGGGGAGCAAACAGG